This 253-nucleotide ribosomal RNA is filed under the name uncultured bacterium. RNAcentral describes it as "partial 16S ribosomal RNA". It matches the Rfam family "Bacterial small subunit ribosomal RNA", at positions 524 to 776 of the family's 1533-position model. The record is from RNAcentral.
UACGUAGGGGGCAAGCGUUAUCCGGAUUUACUGGGUGUAAAGGGAGCGUAGGCGGCUUAGUAAGUCAGAAGUGAAAGCCCGCAGCUCAACUGCGGGACUGCUUUUGAAACUACCAAGCUAGAGUGUCGGAGAGGUAAGUGGAAUUCCUAGUGUAGCGGUGAAAUGCGUAGAUAUUAGGAGGAACACCAGUGGCGAAGGCGGCUUACUGGACGAUGACUGACGCUGAGGCUCGAAAGCGUGGGGAGCAAACAGG